UACGGAGGGUGCGAGCGUUGUCCGGAAUCACUGGGCGUAAAGGGCGCGUAGGUGGCGGGUCAAGCGUGCGGUGAAAGCUUGGGGCUCAACCCCGAGUCGGCCGUGCGAACUGGCUUGCUUGAGCACUGUAGAGGCAGAUGGAAUUCCGGGUGUAGCGGUGGAAUGCGUAGAGAUCCGGAAGAACACCGGUGGCGAAGGCGGUCUGCUGGGCAGUUUUGCUGACACUGAGGCGCGACAGCGUGGGGAGCAAACAGG
This 255-nucleotide ribosomal RNA is filed under the name uncultured bacterium. RNAcentral's name for it is "partial 16S ribosomal RNA". It matches the Rfam family "Bacterial small subunit ribosomal RNA", at positions 524 to 776 of the family's 1533-position model. The record is from RNAcentral.